This 253-nucleotide ribosomal RNA is filed under the name uncultured bacterium. RNAcentral's name for it is "partial 16S ribosomal RNA". It matches the Rfam family "Bacterial small subunit ribosomal RNA", at positions 524 to 776 of the family's 1533-position model. The record is from RNAcentral.
UACGGGGGGAGCAAGCGUUGUUCGGAUUUACUGGGCGUAAAGGGCGCGUAGGCGGCGCAACAAGUCACUUGUGAAAUCUCCGGGCUUAACCCGGAGCGGCCAAGUGAUACUGUCGUGCUAGAGUGCGGAAGGGGCUACUGGAAUUCUCGGUGUAGCGGUGAAAUGCGUAGAUAUCGUGAGGAACACCUGCGGCGAAGGCGGGUAGCUGGGCCGACACUGACGCUGAGGCGCGAAAGCCAGGGGAGCGAACGGG